RNAcentral lists this ribosomal RNA (206 nucleotides) under uncultured bacterium. RNAcentral describes it as "partial 16S ribosomal RNA". It matches the Rfam family "Bacterial small subunit ribosomal RNA", at positions 568 to 774 of the family's 1533-position model. The record is from RNAcentral.
CUCGUAGGCGGUUUGUCGCGUCGUCUGUGAAAUUCUGCAACUCAAUUGCAGGCGUGCAGGCGAUACGGGCAGACUUGAGUACUACAGGGGAGACUGGAAUUCCUGGUGUAGCGGUGAAAUGCGCAGAUAUCAGGAGGAACACCGGUGGCGAAGGCGGGUCUCUGGGUAGUAACUGACGCUGAGGAGCGAAAGCGUGGGAGCGAACG